GUCUAUGGCCAUAACACCCCAAACACGCCUAAUCUCCGGUCUCUGAAGCUAAGCAGGGUCGGGCCUGGUUACUUCCUGGAUGGGAGACA
This 89-nucleotide ribosomal RNA is filed under the name Erinaceus europaeus (western European hedgehog). Lineage: Eukaryota; Metazoa; Chordata; Mammalia; Eulipotyphla; Erinaceidae. The record is from RNAcentral.